Molecule: ribosomal RNA, 440 nt
Filed under: uncultured bacterium
Lineage: Bacteria
Description: partial 16S ribosomal RNA
Rfam family: Bacterial small subunit ribosomal RNA
Source: RNAcentral
CCUACGGGUGGCAGCAGUAGGGAAUAUUGCUCAAUGGGGGAAACCCUGAAGCAGCAACGCCGCGUGGAGGAUGAAGGCUUUCGGAUUGUAAACUCCUUUUGUUAGAGAAGAUUAUGACGGUAUCUAACGAAUAAGCACCGGCUAACUACGUGCCAGCAGCCGCGGUAAUACGGAGGGUGCAAGCGUUACUCGGAAUCACUGGGCGUAAAGAGUGCGUAGGCGGGGGAAUAAGUCAGAUGUGAAACCCUGGAGCUUAACUACAGGACUGCAUUUGAAACUGUUACUCUGGAGUGUGGGAGAGGUAGGUGGAAUUCUUGGUGUAGGGGUGAAAUGCGUAGAGAUCAAGAGGAAUACUCGUUGCGAAGGCGACCUGCUGGAACAUUACUGACGCUGAUGCACGAAAGCGUGGGGAGCAAACAGGAUUAGAUACCCUUGUAGUC